Molecule: long non-coding RNA, 1238 nt
Organism: Megalobrama amblycephala (Wuchang bream)
Lineage: Eukaryota; Metazoa; Chordata; Actinopteri; Cypriniformes; Xenocyprididae
Exons: 4
Source: RefSeq, a predicted model, not a curated record
UGCUGAUUAAUUUGCACAUUUGACGCCGAUAUUUUAGACUUUGGACUGAAAAAUAGACGAUAUUUUCUGUGAUUCAUGUUAAAUGCGCUAAAACAAAUUAACGUAAAUAACGCAGCAUCUAUUUCCCACUUCCCGAGGCUCUAAUAUUUGUGCUGGCAAAUUUAGGCAAUAAUGCACUUUGUCUCAUAUUUUGUCUCAUACAGCCGUGCGUUAUUUUCCACAGUCUCGGCCCGUGUAAGUGCAGCAUUGUUAGGCGCGAAUCUGCACCCCGCGCUCGAAUUCUAGUGAAACCGCGUCACGGUUAUAUUUCUGGCCACGCAUGGAAAGACCCGUUCCAGAACCAGAGAUGUGCGCGCUUCAUUUGCAAUCGUUCGUUACUUUAGUAUUUUGCAAUCUCACUUUAACAUAACUUGUGAGAUGACAAAUUGAGCUUCUGAUUGCAUCUGUUCGCUGGACUUUAUUUAAAAUGAACUAUUUGCAUUUUUCUUGAUCAACAGCUGUCGUCAUGCCGGUGAAAGUUCAUUAUCAUGGUGCAUUUCAAGAUUUUCUAAAUGAAGUCACACACAAGAUCCUCAACCUCCAGCACAUGUACUCAUUCUUUGUCUGACCAUAAAAAGAGAGCAGCGCAAAACCAGCAAACAAAGGCCAGUGACAGAUUAGAUGUGAUGGCAAACAGAUUGUCCAUGACUCCCUGAAAAAAUAAUCCAGUGACGAGAAAGAAGACUAUGAUAAGACAGACUUGUGCACUUCCAUAAGUCCUGCACCAGUAUUGAAGGCCAUCUCAGUUGGAGGGAGGGCCACCAGCCAUUCCUACUGGUAUUGAGAAGGAUCAAGGACAGGAUCGACAAAUUCUUUGUGGUUGAAGAAGCACCUCAUCUCUUAAGGAACCAGCUCCUUGAGUGCUAUCGAACUUUUUCUACUGUUUCUACCUGCUAUGUAGAUCCUUUUAUCUUUAUCUUCCUGCUACACUCUACAACACUGAUGUUGGUCUUACCAGUGAGUCUCCCAAAGUAAAGGAAUUGCAUGGGAAGCAUUGACAAACUUUUGAUGACAAUUUUUCGGAGCAUCAUGUAUUUAAAGUACAGAUACUGGAAGUAAAGAGUAUGUUUAACUGCUAACAUUUUGAAGUUCUAUGGGUCUUUUGACCUGCAGAGUUCAUAUGGGUGAAUUUGAUGAUGAAUUUGUUUCAACUGUUAUGUCUAAGACGUGUCAUUCUUGAAAAUAAAGGUUCAAACUGA